Molecule: ribosomal RNA, 497 nt
Filed under: uncultured bacterium
Lineage: Bacteria
Description: partial 16S ribosomal RNA
Rfam family: Bacterial small subunit ribosomal RNA
Source: RNAcentral
GAUGAACGCUGGCGGCGUGCCUAAUACAUGCAAGUCGAGCGAACAGACGAGGAGCUUGCUCCUCUGACGUUAGCGGCGGACGGGUGAGUAACACGUGGAUAACCUACCUAUAAGACUGGGAUAACUUCGGGAAACCGGAGCUAAUACCGGAUAAUAUAUUGAACCGCAUGGUUCAAUAGUGAAAUACGGUUUUGCUGUCACUUAUAGAUGGAUCCACGCCGCAUUAGCUAGUUGGUAAGGUAACGGCUUACCAAGGCAACGAUGCGUAUCCGACCUGAGAGGGUGAUCGGCCACACGGGAACGGAGACACGGUCCAGACGCCUACGGGAGGCAGCAGUAGGGAAGCUUCCGCAAUGGGCGAAAGCAUGACGGAGGAAGGCCGCGUGAGUGAUGAAGGUCUUCGGAUCGUAAAACUCUGUUAUUAGGGAAGAACAAAUGUGUAAGUAACUAUGGACGUCUUGACGGUACCUAAUCAGAAAGCAACGGCUAACUACGUG